RNAcentral lists this non-coding RNA (204 nucleotides) under Shouchella clausii. RNAcentral describes it as "Bacillus clausii T-box sequence". It matches the Rfam family "T-box leader". From Rfam's summary of the family: Uncharged tRNA acts as the effector for transcription antitermination of genes in the T-box leader family. T-boxes are found upstream of many aminoacyl-tRNA synthetase genes and some amino acid biosynthetic genes usually in Gram-positive bacteria. The record is from RNAcentral. Lineage: Bacteria; Bacillati; Bacillota; Bacilli; Caryophanales; Bacillaceae.
AAAAAAGCGAGGAAAGGCCGAAGUAUGGGCGUACGCUGCUCGAAGAGAGCCGGUGGUUGGUGCGAACCGGUACACGUACGUUAGCCAGAAUUACAGCCUGGAGCUAUUCUUUGUUUCGGCAAAGAACGGAGAAGCCGUUAUCGAAUGAGUGGGAGGCACGAAUGCCUUCAACAAGGGUGGUACCGCGACAAGUUCGUCCCUUAU